Non-coding RNA from Pelobates cultripes (western spadefoot toad), 249 nucleotides. Lineage: Eukaryota; Metazoa; Chordata; Amphibia; Anura; Pelobatidae. The record is from the annotation of a GenBank genome assembly.
GGACUCCAAGAAUGGCUUGCCUCUGGCAGCCUUUACCAUGAUCUCUUCUGCUUAGGUAGGGUUUGCUGUAAUCCCAGCUAUCAUUGUCAUUGCGAAUAACGUUGAGUCGUGAUGGCCUGGCAUACUUUAUCUUUAGCGUGCAGCAUCCCACAUAUAUAUCUGCUCCAUUUAACGCAGCUUUGGCUUUCUGAGCACUAAGCACGGUGUCAAAUUCAACCAUUGCUUGGAUUCCAUUUCUUUUAAAGAUAA